This 412-nucleotide ribosomal RNA is filed under the name uncultured bacterium. Its description in RNAcentral is "partial 16S ribosomal RNA". It matches the Rfam family "Bacterial small subunit ribosomal RNA", at positions 335 to 742 of the family's 1533-position model. The record is from RNAcentral.
ACUCCUACGGGAGGCAGCAGUGGGGAAUAUUGCGCAAUGGGCGAAAGCCUGACGCAGCGACGCCGCGCGGGGGAUGAAGCUUUUCGGAGUGUAAACCCCUUUCGACCCGGACGAAAGCCCGCAAGGGCCUGACGGUACGGGUAUAAGAAGCCCCGGCUNAACUACGUGCCAGCAGCCGCGGUAAAACGUAGGGGGGCCAGCGUUGCUCCGGAAUUACUGGNCGUAAAGGGGCCUGUAGGCGGUGCGGCAAGUCGGAAGUGAAUCUCAGGGCUCCACCCUGAGACUGCUCCCGAAACUGCCGUGCUCGANGCGAGAGAGGCGGGUGGGAAUUGCAGGGNGUAGCGGUGAAAUGGCNUAGNAUAUCUGCAGGAACCAUCCGNAGCGAAAGCGGCCCNNCUGGAUUCGGCACCUG